Molecule: unclassified non-coding RNA, 336 nt
Filed under: soil metagenome
Description: partial contains 5.8S ribosomal RNA, internal transcribed spacer 2, and large subunit ribosomal RNA
Rfam family: 5.8S ribosomal RNA (bases 1-120)
Source: RNAcentral
GAUGAGGAACGCAGCGAAAUGCGAUAAGUAAUGUGAAUUGCAGAAUUCAGUGAAUCAUCGAAUCUUUGAACGCACAUUGCGCCCGCCAGUAUUCUGGCGGGCAUGCCUGUUCGAGCGUCAUUUCAACCAUCAAGCCCCAGGCUUGUGUUGGGGACCUGCGGCUGCCGCAGGCCCUGAAAACCAGUGGCGGGCUCGCUGUCACACCGGGCGUAGUAGAUUUUAUCUCGCUCAGGGCGUGCUGCGGGUUCCGGCCGUUAAAAAGCCUUUUUUACCCAAGGUUGACCUCGGAUCAGGUAGGAAGACCCGCUGAACUUAAGCAUAUCAAUAAGCGGAGGA